Long non-coding RNA from Mesoplodon densirostris (Blainville's beaked whale), 1043 nucleotides. RefSeq lists it as uncharacterized. The record is from RefSeq and is a predicted model, not a curated record. The transcript has 4 exons. Lineage: Eukaryota; Metazoa; Chordata; Mammalia; Artiodactyla; Ziphiidae.
AUCCCCCAUGCUUCCAUCAUGCACCAAAGGAGCAGAGAUGUAUGGGCUACCUCACUCUAUCACAGCAGGAUUAAACACAUCUACUUCAAACUUCUAAAGGUUCUCACGACAGCCUUGACCGUUCAGUUAUAUCUGGCUUUCUAUCAGAAGAACAGAACCCACUUCAGCAGACCAGUUCAUAUCAGAUCCUUUAAAGAUCAGCGGUUACUAUGAGAGAGAUUGGUUUCUGCAGAGCUGACCUGAUCUGGGAGCUCAAGAGGAUUUCCCCCCAAAUUUACUGUGGGAAACUGGUCAAGCUCCUGGAGCCUCCAGCAAUUCAUUAAUUACAGAUCAGGGAAUUUUCCUACCCAGACGUACUCCUGAGUCUCUGUUCUGAAUCACAGCUUGGACAAGACCACAAGAACCUAAGAAUAACCGAUGACCCACAACAUCCAGCCUGUCUUCAGAUACUUCCUAUGAUUGAGAACUUGCCUUUCGUGAUAACUCUUCCAACUUUCACAGGAAAAGUUUUCAGAAGAAUUUUACCUGGUUGACUUUGGUCAACAGGUUUAAGCUUCUGGGUCUCGGGGUCUUUUUACUUGUAAAAUUGUUCCAUAUUUGUUGCAUUUCUACUGUGGAUCAGGCAGCCCCAAAUACUUUUUUGGUGGGGGGGGGGAACCAAGGCAGGGUAUAAAUAAACAGAUUGAUGAAAUGAAAAAUAAGCUGCACAGAAAUUUUAGUCUUUGGGGAUAUAAAGUUGAACAAGACAAUAGUCUAAAUGGAGAGAUGGGGACAUAAUCAAACGCUUAUGAGGACAAUACAAUGAGUAAUUUAUUAAGGUUCAGGAAAUUUUGGGGACACUGGGAGCUGGGGACACUGCUUGCUAUUUGCUCUUUUCCCAGCUCCCUCCCACGUGCAAGCUCAAAGUGCUGAUUUACUAUAAAAACUGGAUCAGGACUUCCCUCCAGGUGCCUCCUAUCCAUGCCCUCCAAAGUCCCCUAGACUGUAAACCCCAGUGAAGGCAGGGACCCCAUUGAUUUUAUUCAUCCUUUUAUCCAUCUCAC